Molecule: long non-coding RNA, 4147 nt
Organism: Panicum virgatum (switchgrass)
Lineage: Eukaryota; Viridiplantae; Streptophyta; Magnoliopsida; Poales; Poaceae
Exons: 6
Source: RefSeq, a predicted model, not a curated record
CCCGCCCGUCAAUUACGCCAUUCCCACCAAAUCCUUCCCCGUCUGCCGCGCACGCGCUGCACGCAAUCCCCUCCCCUCCACAGACCUCGUCCCUCCCGCCGCCACCUCUCCGCCGCCACCCCUCCUCCUUUCUCGCCCCCCGCUCUCCCCCGCGGCCCUUCCACUCCCCUCCCCCAGCGACGCAACGUGCCUGGCUGCAGCGUGACUCGCGCGGCCUGCGAGGUGGCACGGCGGCCUGGAGGACACGAGAUCUGCAGGCUGCGGCCCACUCGCCUCCUACCCUCCCCCUCCCACGUCGGAGUCUUCCCGCUAUUGCCGCCGACGAGGCACGGCGGCCUGGAUGCCACGCAACGGCGAGGCAACGGCCGGCAUAGCCAGGCGGGGCCGCAGUCUUGCCAUUCAAGAUCAUGGAGAACCACGUCGCCGGCCCGCCGGGAACCGACGUCCACCGCUCCGCCACCGUCUCACCAUUGCAGAUAAAAAAGAAGCCCGCCGGGAAUCGACGUACGCUGCCGCAACCAUCACCCCAUCAGAGAUUACUCCGUCAACAUCAUGUGCGUCCAAAGCCAAAACACAGCACUCCAGUUACAAGCCCAAUUCAGUUUUGGUUAAUAUUUUUCUCCACAGAAUAAUUUAGUUUAUGUAUACAAGUGCAUCCAUGAAUUAUUUGUAAUAAACAUCGGGCAUUAUUUGUAUAGUAUAAACUGCAGAUGGUCCCGUUCCUUUAAGCUAUUCUCAGCAAGACAACUUGCAGCCUCAGUCAACAGUUCUGGAUACAACCAUCGAAACAAAUGAAGAUAAUCAGUGGCUCCAUAGGGAAUCAAACAAUACUGACUGUCGGUACCCUGUAGUAGGGAUACCCACUCCUACUGCAGUAAGGCAUGACUCGCGUGGUCAUCCAUAACUACGCACUAAGGGGUGGAGCAGCCGGGCCCCAGGGGUCAGGCUCUUACCCCACCGGGCCAACGGCCCCGGACCCGUUCCCCGCUCCGGGAUGGGUCCGGUGACGCCACGUGUCCCUGAGGAGGGGAAGCUCCGCGCCAACAGCCGAGGGCUCGGACCCCCCAUAGGGGUCCGGGACCUCCCCGCGUCCGUCCGGACCUCCCACGCGCGUAGAACCAAUAUACCACCGGGGCGGGGUCUGGGGGUGCCACGUGUCCCGCAGGCGCGGGCGCGAGUCUUCCGCUGGAAGACUCCCCCACCCACCGCAUUCAAUGCGGGUGGUUGAGGCGUGCUCUGCCGCCGCGGCACGCGGGGCAGCUUUUGUCAGGCCUCGCUGUAGACGCAUAUUACCGAGGUACACAGUGCAGCCUCAUCCGCGCAGAGCCCGUCUGCCGCAUUAAAUGGAUACGAUGGCACGGCACCCUUUCAUCAUACCGCCUACACCGCAAGCUACACGGCCUGUUCAGCUACGCGGCAGGCUACGUCGCAAGCUACGCCCUGGCACCGUUUCGACAAGACAUGGCAUGGCUAUGCCGGACGGAAGAUUCCCACGGGCAAAGCAAGGAAGUCCCGGAAUAAGAUCUUUCCCAGGCGUAGCACCAUAAUAGCGUUAGGCCAUUCGUAUUAAAUACAACAUCGUUGGACCCACCUGUCGGGGACUCAACGGCCAUGUACGCGCCUCCCUUGAGAUAUAAAGGGGAGGCGCUCGCUGCGCACGCAAGUCUCUCUGGACUCUCUGGAGACUCGCUGGACACUCUCACAACACAGGCUCGGAUUCACUUCGAACAACCCCAUUCUCAACCUCUUGAGAGCACAAGCAAUACAAUACACAGUGGACGUAGGGUAUUACGCUCCGGCGGCCCGAACCACUCUAAACCCUCUGUGUUCAUCGUGUUCUUGCAUCUAUCUAGAUUGGACUAAUCCUAGCUACCCCCGAGUACUUACCCUCUAGGAUUAGGCGGGUGCACUACGCCACCCGGCUGUAGGUUUGCAGACCACGACACUGACAAUGUCAUGCAGCAAUUUUCAGGUAGCUUUGUCUUAACCAAACUUUUGGAUACUCUAUUAUAUGAUAUAAUCAGUCCAACUUUUGAUACCUAUAACUUGGGAUAUCAUUUUUAUUGCUAAUUUCUUUCAUGACUUGCAUUUUGCAGUCACUGUCGCAUUGUUCAGUACAAGACAGCCUACUAUUCAUUUUAUCUUCCUGUUCCUUUCAAUUGUCUGGAUGGUACUCUUAGCAUUUAAUAAGAUGUCUCUGCUAACAAUAUUAUACUCCAUUCAAGGUUCCAUGUGCACUUUUGCUGGCUGGUGAGAACUUGGAUUGGUGAUGUACAGAACAUUCUUGUUGAAUUGGGAGCAUACUUUAUUUCAAAAAAAAAAGAAAGAAUUGGGAACAUACUUUCAAGUCCAGGAUGAUUAUCCAGAUUGUUUUGGUGAUCCUGAAUUCAUUGGCAAGAUUAGCACUUGCAGCUUCUUUGUUACUAAUUUGAUCUUAGUGUUACUGUGCAGUAGUCUGCGGCCAAUGCUCUAUUUUUUUUAAUUUAUGAUGGUCUUAUCAACAUGAACUCUUGUCACAGAUCGGAACUGGUUUUUGGAUACAAGAAGUGCUCUUGGUUAGUUGUGCAAGCUCUCGAACAUGCUGAUGAGGACCAAAAGAAAAUCGUAUUUGUAAGUACUUUUAAUUUGGCUAAUUUUCAGAACAAAGAAGAUAGUGCCUGAACUCCUCAUAUCUGGACAAGAAAAUUAUGGGAAGUCCGAUGCAGUUUGUGUUGCAGAGGUGAAGGACAUGUACCAAAAACUUAAACUGGAGUUCUUUUCAGAUUGGUAUAGGUGAUGUCAGUAACAUGCCUGACUUUACCUUUGUGGAAAAUGUGACCCAUGCCAAUAUUUGUGCUGAACAAGCCUUGUGUUCAGAUGCAGCUUCUGUUGCUGGGAAGGUACAUUUGUAUAGAUAACAGGGCUAUGUUUCAGUGAUAUUACUUUUAUGGUUAAUUCUGUGCAUUGAAUUUUUAAAGCCAUUUUUGUCACCAAUGAGAAACCUAUGGAAACAUGGGAGUUUAUGAAUUGCAUAAUGGAAGCUAUGGCCUGUCAGAGGUAUUUCUCCCUCCCUCUUUGCCCCUCUCAACUGAUUUGCAGACAUCCAUCUUAUUGUCUCUCAGCACUCUGUCUUGACUCAGUUGAAUUUAAGUCUUGCUUCCGUUCGUGCUUAUUAGCUGAUGAGAGAUGCCGGAUCCAAUCAAUGUUCCUUACUGAUUCUGAUUAUAUUACUUUUGUUACUCUGCUAAGCAAGUUCAUUCUGAGCUGACAUCACUUUCUAAACUGGUAUAUGGGUAGGCUAUCUGUUACUACAUUCAUUGUUGAUUAGUUGAAUUGAUGUAUGUUUCAGAGCUUUGGGAAUUGACUUAGCAUGGAUUGAUUAUGGGAAAAUGUUGUUUUAAGCUCAAUUUCUCCAUGAUACCUUGCAAACAUUUUGACACUACAAAAUGAGUUCCUGCAGAAUUCAGUUGGUUUCAAGGAUCCAUUACUGAAUAGUGGUGUAUCCAGUUAAUCAUAAAUGUUUUUUACUGAAUAUGUUAUUUAUGUCCAAAAUAUCAUAUCUGAAUAUCUACACUGCUCUAAAGUUUUUGUAAUUAUUUGCGCAUGAUAGGUCUUUGUCAAGAAUCUGUGCAAGGAUCGCGCUGCCUGGCCACUCAACAAUAUGGAAAGCUCAUACAAGUUUACGGUGAAGCAUGUGCAGCUCUGGAAAGUGGCCUUCCACAGCACCUCUCCUAGAUGGGUCCAUUGCUUCUACCUCGCUGCUCUCGCCUCAUUCUAGCCAAGUGGCGACUUCCAUGGCAUCACCGCGGGGGUGGUCGAUCUGGGAGAUGGUGCUGGAGACCGUCGCGGCGUACCACAACCAAGAGCGGAUGAGGCGCAAGCUGCGCAAGAUCCUAAUAUUUGUAGUGGCUCAUUUCCUGCUCCUAUAUUCAAGGUUCUUUUGAGGAAUCGAGUGAUAAGUAAAGGGAGCAAGCUAAAAAGUUGAUGGAGUGAUAAGUAAAGGGAGCAAGCUAAAAAGUUGAUGGAGUACCGGAUAUUAUUUUUGUUUCCUCCUAAUUAUGAUGAUCAUUUGCUAAUACCACUCUACCAUAUAAUAGAUAUCGAGUUACUGAUUCUGUUUAUGUUAUUGUCUCAUUAGAACAAAUUAGAGGAGCUUUAAAAGUUUUAA